RNAcentral lists this long non-coding RNA (250 nucleotides) under Oryza brachyantha (malo sina). RNAcentral's name for it is "long non-coding RNA (OBRA_LNC002903)". Lineage: Eukaryota; Viridiplantae; Streptophyta; Magnoliopsida; Poales; Poaceae. The record is from RNAcentral.
GAUCGUACGUGUAUUGGUUUUGCAUGAGGUGUUUUUUCUUUUUUUUCGCAGAAUCUUUCUUUCUCUCCUGCACUAUAGUUGAUGUCGUAUAUAUUUAGCAGCAGUAGUAGUAGGUUGUGUUAUACUGUAUUAUUUAUGGUUUUCUGGACAAGAGCAUGCAGUGCCAGCGUGUGGGCACCAGGACUACUGCUGGAGAAAAGACCCUGGUUGGUGAAGACCAAAUGAGAAUAUUAGAGAGAGAAUUAAAGGG